This 323-nucleotide ribosomal RNA is filed under the name uncultured eukaryote. Its description in RNAcentral is "partial 18S ribosomal RNA". It matches the Rfam family "Eukaryotic small subunit ribosomal RNA", at positions 1470 to 1796 of the family's 1831-position model. The record is from RNAcentral.
CCCUUAGAUGUUCUGGGCCGCACGCGUGCUACACUGAGUGGAUCAGCGGGUCAGGUUGCGCGAAAGUGUUUCCUAAUCUUUAAAUCCGCUCGUGAUGGGGAUUGACGGUUGCAAUUUUCCGUCAUGAACGAGGAAUACCUUGUAAGCGCGGGUCAUCAUCCCGCGCUGAAUACGUCCCUGCCCUUUGUACACACCGCCCGUCGCUCCUACCGAUUGAAUGAUCCGAUGAAUAUCAUGGAUUGAGGAUGCAAGCAGGUUCGCCUGUCUUCAUCUUCGAGAAGUGAAGUAAAUCUUAUCAUUUAGAGGAAGGAGAAGUCGUAACA